AUGCACCACCCUACUGGAAACUUCGUGCGU
Molecule: non-coding RNA, 30 nt
Filed under: Homo sapiens (human)
Lineage: Eukaryota; Metazoa; Chordata; Mammalia; Primates; Hominidae
Source: RNAcentral